This 73-nucleotide transfer RNA is filed under the name Trichobilharzia regenti. It matches the Rfam family "tRNA". Rfam says of the family: Transfer RNA (tRNA) molecules are approximately 80 nucleotides in length. Their secondary structure includes four short double-helical elements and three loops (D, anti-codon, and T loops). Further hydrogen bonds mediate the characteristic L-shaped molecular structure. tRNAs have two regions of fundamental functional importance: the anti-codon, which is responsible for specific mRNA codon recognition, and the 3' end, to which the tRNAs corresponding amino acid is attached (by aminoacyl-tRNA synthetases). tRNAs cope with the degeneracy of the genetic code in two manners: having more than one tRNA (with a specific anti-codon) for a particular amino acid; and 'wobble' base-pairing, i.e. permitting non-standard base-pairing at the 3rd anti-codon position. The record is from Rfam by way of RNAcentral. Lineage: Eukaryota; Metazoa; Platyhelminthes; Trematoda; Strigeidida; Schistosomatidae.
GCGUCGGUGGCACAGUGGUUAGUACUCUCGCCUACUGUGCACAUGAUCAGGGGUUCGACCCCCUGCCGACGCA